CAUGCAAGUCGAACGGUGAUGACGAGAGCUUGCUCUUGUCUGAUCAGUGGCGAACGGGUGAGUAACACGUGAGUAACCUGCCCCAGACUCUGGGAUAACCCCGGGAAACCGGGGCUAAUACCGGAUAUGACACCAACGGGCAUCCGUAUGGUGUGGAAAGUUUUUCGGUCUGGGAUGGGCUCGCGGCCUAUCAGCUUGUUGGUGAGGUAGUGGCUCACCAAGGCGACGACGGGUAGCCGGCCUGAGAGGGCGACCGGCCACACUGGGACUGAGACACGGCCCAGACUCCUACGGGAGGCAGCAGUGGGGAAUAUUGCACAAUGGGCGAAAGCCUGAUGCAGCGACGCCGCGUGAGGGAUGACGGCCUUCGGGUUGUAAACCGCUUUCAGUUCCGACGAAGCGCAAGUGACGGUAGGAACAGAAGAAGGACCGGCCAACUACGUGCCAGCAGCCGCGGUGAUACGUAGGGUCCGAGCGUUGUCCGGAAUUAUUGGGCGUAAAGGGCUUGUAGGCGGUUUGUCACGUCGAAAGUGAAAACUCAGGGCUUAACCCUGAGCCUGCUUCCGAUACUGGCAAACUAGAGGGAUGCAGGGGAGAAUGGAAUUCCUGGUGGAGCGGUGGAAUGCGCAGAUAUCAGGAGGAACACCGGUGGCGAAGGCGGUUCUCUGGGCAUUUCCUGACGCUGAGAAGCGAAAGCGUGGGGAGCAAACAGGCUUAGAUACCCUGGUAGUCCACGCCGUAAACGGUGGGCACUAGGUGUGGGGAACAUUCCACGUUCUCCGUGCCGAAGCUAACGCAUUAAGUGCCCCGCCUG
This 814-nucleotide ribosomal RNA is filed under the name uncultured bacterium. RNAcentral's name for it is "bacterial SSU rRNA". It matches the Rfam family "Bacterial small subunit ribosomal RNA", at positions 54 to 875 of the family's 1533-position model. The record is from RNAcentral.